Molecule: ribosomal RNA, 274 nt
Filed under: uncultured bacterium
Lineage: Bacteria
Description: partial 16S ribosomal RNA
Rfam family: Bacterial small subunit ribosomal RNA
Source: RNAcentral
AUACGGAGGAUGCAAGCGUUGUUCGGAAUCACUGGGCGUAAAGCGCGCGCAGGCGGUCUUUUAAGUUGGAUGUGAAAGCCUACGGCUCAACCGUAGAACUGCAUCCAAAACUAUUAGACUAGAGUGUGCGAGAGGAAGAUGGAAUUAGUUGUGUAGGGGUAAAAUCCGUAGAGAUAACUAGGAAUACCAAAAGCGAAGGCAAUCUUCUGGAACACUACUGACGCUGAGGCGCGAAGGCGUGGGGAGCAAACAGAAUUAGAAACCCCAGUAGUCC